This 74-nucleotide transfer RNA is filed under the name Nannocystaceae bacterium. It matches the Rfam family "tRNA". From Rfam's summary of the family: Transfer RNA (tRNA) molecules are approximately 80 nucleotides in length. Their secondary structure includes four short double-helical elements and three loops (D, anti-codon, and T loops). Lineage: Bacteria; Pseudomonadati; Myxococcota; Nannocystales; Nannocystaceae. The record is from Rfam by way of RNAcentral.
GCCGAGGUAGCUCAGGUGGUUAGAGCGAGGGAUUCAUAACCCCUAGGUCGCCGGUUCAAGUCCGGCUCUCGGCA